UACGAAGGGGGCUAGCGUUGCUCGGAAUCACUGGGCGUAAAGCGCACGUAGGCGGCUUGUUAAGUCAGGGGUGAAAUCCUGGAGCUCAACUCCAGAACUGCCUUUGAUACUGGCGAGCUUGAGUCCGGGAGAGGUGAGUGGAACUGCGAGUGUAGAGGUGAAAUUCGUAGAUAUUCGCAAGAACACCAGUGGCGAAGGCGGCUCUCUGGGACGGUACUGACGCUGAGACGCGAAAGCGUGGGGAGCGAACAGG
This 253-nucleotide ribosomal RNA is filed under the name uncultured bacterium. Its description in RNAcentral is "partial 16S ribosomal RNA". It matches the Rfam family "Bacterial small subunit ribosomal RNA", at positions 524 to 776 of the family's 1533-position model. The record is from RNAcentral.